GCGCUAACAGAUGAGCCCAAGUCGGAUUAGCUAGUUGGUAGGGUAAUGGCCUACCAAGGCGACGAUCCGUAACUGGUCUGAGAGGACGACCAGUCACACCGGAACUGAGACACGGUCCGG
This 120-nucleotide ribosomal RNA is filed under the name uncultured bacterium. RNAcentral's name for it is "partial 16S ribosomal RNA". It matches the Rfam family "Bacterial small subunit ribosomal RNA", at positions 215 to 334 of the family's 1533-position model. The record is from RNAcentral.